RNAcentral lists this ribosomal RNA (253 nucleotides) under uncultured bacterium. RNAcentral's name for it is "partial 16S ribosomal RNA". It matches the Rfam family "Bacterial small subunit ribosomal RNA", at positions 524 to 776 of the family's 1533-position model. The record is from RNAcentral.
UACGUAGGGGGCUAGCGUUGUCCGGAUUUAUUGGGCGUAAAGAGCGUGUAGGCGGCCAGGUAGGUCUGCUGUGAAAACUCGAGGCUCAACCCCGAGACGUCGGCGGAAACCAUCUGGCUAGAGUCCGGAAGAGGAGAGUGGAAUUCCUGGUGUAGCGGUGAAAUGCGCAGAUAUCAGGAAGAACACCCGUGGCGAAGGCGGCUCUCUGGGACGGUACUGACGCUGAGACGCGAAAGCGUGGGGAGCGAACAGG